AGGCCCCGCCCCGGCCCCGCCCCCUGCGGCCCCAAGGCUCGCGGUCAGCCUCACCCCGCGGGUGCUUGCCGUCUUCUUGUCUUCUGACCAAUCUUUAUCUGAUCUUUUUUAGAUCCCCUUUGGCGCCCGCCUUGAAAGCAAGAGGAGAGCGGGAAGGGGGGGAAUGCACCUCUUAGACGCGCACCUCCUACUCUGUCUAGACCCCGCCUCCACACAGAAGGAACCGGGCAGCGGGAAAGGCUGACGCGACUCGCGCCAUCUUUUACUUGGGCGGAACCAAUCGCUGCUUGACGAGCCUCCAUUUCCUAAUGGGACACCGGAUCCAGGGUGGCAGCAGAACCACUGUGUUGAAGCUGUGAGAUUUUCCAUCUCAGCACAAGAACUCAAUGUAAGAGCUGUCAAGAUGAUGGUAAAGGAGAGCAUUCAAGGAUGGGUUGGCUGUGUCCAAGAGGCCAUUCAGAUAUUCCAUUUUCCAGUCGUGAGAGUUAAGACUUAAUGAGUCCACUAAGGGUGAGUUUCCUCUUUUCAUCACUGCUUAGUUUCUGUGACCCACGAGCAUUUAGAAAGUGAAACCCCUUGGUAAGUAUAGGACAGGAACAGAAACUUGCAAUUCCUCCUCUGAUUCUAGCCAAC
Molecule: long non-coding RNA, 633 nt
Filed under: Fukomys damarensis (Damara mole-rat)
Lineage: Eukaryota; Metazoa; Chordata; Mammalia; Rodentia; Bathyergidae
Description: lncRNA (ENSFDAG00000023499.1)
Source: RNAcentral